CGCGGGAUAGAGCAGUUGGUAGCUCGUCGGGCUCAUAACCCGGAGGUCGUUGGUUCGAAUCCAGCUCCCGCUA
RNAcentral lists this transfer RNA (73 nucleotides) under Sedimentibacter sp. RNAcentral describes it as "tRNA-Met". It matches the Rfam family "tRNA". From Rfam's summary of the family: Transfer RNA (tRNA) molecules are approximately 80 nucleotides in length. Their secondary structure includes four short double-helical elements and three loops (D, anti-codon, and T loops). The record is from RNAcentral. Lineage: Bacteria; Bacillati; Bacillota; Tissierellia.